This 1345-nucleotide ribosomal RNA is filed under the name uncultured bacterium. RNAcentral's name for it is "bacterial SSU rRNA". It matches the Rfam family "Bacterial small subunit ribosomal RNA", at positions 28 to 1381 of the family's 1533-position model. The record is from RNAcentral.
GAUGAACGCUAGCGGGAGGCCUAACACAUGCAAGCCGAGCGGUAUUGUUUCUUCGGAAAUGAGAGAGCGGCGUACGGGUGCGGAACACGUGUGCAACCUGCCUUUAUCUGGGGGACAGCCUUUCGAAAGGAAGAUUAAUACUCCAUAAUAUAUUGAUUGGCAUCAAUUAAUAUUGAAAGCUCCGGCGGAUAGAGAUGGGCACGCGCAAGAUUAGCUAGUUGGUGAGGUAACGGCUCACCAAGGCGAUGAUCUUUAGGGGGCCUGAGAGGGUGAUCCCCCACACUGGUACUGAGACACGGACCAGACUCCUACGGGAGGCAGCAGUGAGGAAUAUUGGUCAAUGGAUGCAGGCCUGAACCAGCCAUCCCGCGUGAAGGACGACUGCCCUAUGGGUUGUAAACUUCUUUUGUAUAGGGAUAAACCUACCCUCGUGAGGGUAGCUGAAGGUACUAUACGAAUAAGCACCGGCUAACUCCGUGCCAGCAGCCGCGGUAAUACGGAGGGUGCAAGCGUUAUCCGGAUUUAUUGGGUUUAAAGGGUCCGUAGGCGGACUUAUAAGUCAGUGGUGAAAGCCUGUCGCUUAACGAUAGAACUGCCAUUGAUACUGUAAGUCUUGAGUAUAUUUGAGGUAGCUGGAAUAAGUAGUGUAGCGGUGAAAUGCAUAGAUAUUACUUAGAACACCAAUUGCGAAGGCAGGUUACCAAGAUAUAACUGACGCUGAGGGACGAAGGCGUGGGGAGCGAACAGGAUUAGAUACCCUGGUAGUCCACGCCGUAAACGAUGCUAACUCGUUUUUGGGCUUUAGGGUUCAGAGACCAAGCGAAAGUGAUAAGUUAGCCACCUGGGGAGUACGCUCGCAAGAGUGAAACUCAAAGGAAUUGACGGGGGCCCGCACAAGCGGUGGAUUAUGUGGUUUAAUUCGAUGAUACGCGAGGAACCUUACCAAGACUUAAAUGGGAAUUGACAGCUUUAGAAAUAGAGCUUUCUUCGGACAAUUUUCAAGGUGCUGCAUGGUUGUCGUCAGCUCGUGCCGUGAGGUGUUAGGUUAAGUCCUGCAACGAGCGCAACCCCUGUCACUAGUUGCCAUCAUUCAGUUGGGGACUCUAGUGAGACUGCCUACGCAAGUAGAGAGGAAGGUGGGGAUGACGUCAAAUCAUCACGGCCCUUACGUCUUGGGCCACACACGUAAUACAAUGGCCGGUACAGAGGGCAGCUACACAGCGAUGUGAUGCAAAUCUCGAAAGCCGGUCUCAGUUCGGAUUGGAGUCAGCAACUCGACUCUAUGAAGCUGGAAUCGCUAGUAAUCGCGCAUCAGCCAUGGCGCGGUGAAUACGUUCCCGGGCCU